UACAGGGGGGGCAAGCGUUGUUCGGAAUUACUGGGCGUAAAGGGUUCGUAGGUGGCUUGCUAAGUCAGACGUGAAAUCCCUCAGCUUAACUGGGGAACUGCGUCUGAGACUGGCAAGCUUGAGUGCAGGAGAGGAACGCGGAAUUCCAGGUGUAGCGGUGAAAUGCGUAGAUAUCUGGAGGAACACCGGUGGCGAAGGCGGCGUUCUGGACUGCAACUGACACUGAAGAACGAAAGCCAGGGGAGCAAACGGG
This 253-nucleotide ribosomal RNA is filed under the name uncultured bacterium. RNAcentral describes it as "partial 16S ribosomal RNA". It matches the Rfam family "Bacterial small subunit ribosomal RNA", at positions 524 to 776 of the family's 1533-position model. The record is from RNAcentral.